This 73-nucleotide transfer RNA is filed under the name Deltaproteobacteria bacterium. RNAcentral describes it as "tRNA-Gly". It matches the Rfam family "tRNA". Rfam says of the family: Transfer RNA (tRNA) molecules are approximately 80 nucleotides in length. Their secondary structure includes four short double-helical elements and three loops (D, anti-codon, and T loops). Further hydrogen bonds mediate the characteristic L-shaped molecular structure. tRNAs have two regions of fundamental functional importance: the anti-codon, which is responsible for specific mRNA codon recognition, and the 3' end, to which the tRNAs corresponding amino acid is attached (by aminoacyl-tRNA synthetases). tRNAs cope with the degeneracy of the genetic code in two manners: having more than one tRNA (with a specific anti-codon) for a particular amino acid; and 'wobble' base-pairing, i.e. permitting non-standard base-pairing at the 3rd anti-codon position. Lineage: Bacteria; Pseudomonadati; Myxococcota; Myxococcia. The record is from RNAcentral.
GCGGGCGUAGCUCAGUUGGUAGAGCGUCAGCCUUCCAAGCUGAGGGUCGCGAGUUCGAACCUCGUCGCCCGCU